UACGAAGGGGGCUAGCGUUACUCGGAUUGACCGGGCGUAAAGGGCGCGUAGGCGGAUGGUACAGUCAGACGUGAAAUUCCUGGGCUCAACCUGGGGGCUGCGUUUGAUACGUGCUGUCUGGAGUUCGGAAGAGGGUCGUGGAAUUCCCAGUGUAGAGGUGAAAUUCGUAGAUAUUGGGAAGAACACCGGUGGCGAAGGCGGCGACCUGGUCCGAUACUGACGCUGAGGCGCGAAAGCGUGGGGAGCAAACAGG
RNAcentral lists this ribosomal RNA (253 nucleotides) under uncultured bacterium. RNAcentral's name for it is "partial 16S ribosomal RNA". It matches the Rfam family "Bacterial small subunit ribosomal RNA", at positions 524 to 776 of the family's 1533-position model. The record is from RNAcentral.